UGAACCAAACUACUCAGUAAUCUCCUCCAUGAAGACUGGGGGUCAGCCUGAUGAACCAAACUACUCAGUAAUCUCCUCCAUGAAGACUGGAGGUCAGCCUGAUGAACCAAACUACUCAGUAAUCUCCUCCAUGAAGACUGGAGGUCAGCCUGAUGAACCAAACUACUCAGUAAUCUCCUCCAUGAAGACCGGAGGUCAGCCUGAUGAACCAAACUACUCAGUAAUCUCCUCCAUGAAGACUGGAGGUCAGCCUGAUGAACCAAACUACUCAGUAAUCUCCUCUAUGAAGACUGGAGGUCAGCCUGAUGAACCAAACUACUCAGUAAUCUCCUCCAUGAAGACUGGAGGUCAGCCUGAUGAACCAAACUACUCAGUAAUCUCCUCCAUGAAGACUGGAGGUCAGCCUGAUGAACCAAACUACUCAGUAAUCUCCUCCAUGAAGACUGGAGGUCAGCCUGAUGAACCAAACUACUCAGUAAUCUCCAUGAAGACUGGAGGUCAGCCUGAUGAACCAAACUACUCAGUAAUCUCCUCCAUGAAGACUGGGGGUCAGCCUGAUGAACCAAACUACUCAGUAAUCUCCUCCAUGAAGACUGGAGGUCAGCCUGAUGAACCAUGAAGACUGGGGGUCAGCCUGAUGAACCAAACUACUCAGUAAUCUCCUCCAUGAAGACUGGGGGUCAGCCUGAUGAACCAAACUACUCAGUAAUCUCCUCCAUGAAGACUGGAGGUCAGCCUGAUGAACCAAACUACUCAGUAAUCUCCUCCAUGAAGACUGGGGGUCAGCCUGAUGAACUAAACUACUCAGUAAUCUCCUCCAUGAAGACUGGAGGUCAGCCUGAUGAACCAAACUACUCAGUAAUCUCCUCCAUGAAGACUGGAGGUCAGCCUGAUGAACCAAACUACUCAGUAAUCUCCUCCAUGAAGACUGGAGGUCAGCCUGAUGAUCAUAUGCACUGAUCAAUUAAUGUAUACAUUUAUCAUUUGUAGGUAUUGUUAUCCGUUUGAACAAACCUUGUUUAUUUUUGAACUUAGUAUUGUAUAUAGUUUUUUUUGUGGUGUGUUUGUUUUAAGCCCUUGAGCUUCCAACCACCUGCACACUGUUUUAAAUUGACUUGGCUUUGAUCUGUAUUGUUGUUUAUCACUUUGUUUACUUUGGUGUAAAUAAAUUAGAACAAACUAACAAAACAGA
Molecule: RNA transcript, 1192 nt
Organism: Oncorhynchus keta (chum salmon)
Lineage: Eukaryota; Metazoa; Chordata; Actinopteri; Salmoniformes; Salmonidae
Gene name: DNA-directed RNA polymerase II subunit RPB1-like
Exons: 3
Source: RefSeq, a predicted model, not a curated record